CUUUUCGAGGUAGGAGUCGACUCCUGUGAGGUAUGGUGCUGGGUGCAGAUGCAGUGUGGCUCUGGAUAGCACCUUAUGGACAGUUGUGUCCCCAAGGAAGGAUGAGAAUAGCUACUGAAGUAAGUUGAAAAUUCCCUCUCAAAAAGGUUUAAAGCCAUUGGAUGUGCCACAAUGAUGACAGUUUAUUUGCUACUCUUGAGUGCUAGAAUGAUGAGGAUCUUAACCACCAUUAUCUUAACUGAGGCACCCAAAAUGGUGAGUUGGGGAACAUAGAGAGUACACCUAAGUUCACAUGAAGUUGUUUCUUCCCAGGUCCUAAAGAGCAAGCCUAACUCAAGCCAUUGGCACACAGGCAUUAGACAGAAAGCUGGAAGUUGAAAUGGUGGAGUCCAACUUGCCUGGACCAGCUUAAUGGUUCUGCUCCUGGUAACGUUUUUAUCCAUGGAUGACUUGCUUGGGUAAGGACAUGAAGACAGUUCCUGUCAUACCUUUUAAAGGUAUGGAGAGUCGGCUUGACUACACUGUGUGGAGCAAGUUUUAAAGAAGCAAAGGACUCAGAAUUCAUGAUUGAAGAAAUGCAGGUUAGUUUAAACUUUGAAGGAAAUUUUUAAGGUGGCAAAAGGUUUUGGUGGCAUAUACACCUUAAUCUGUAGAUGGGAGUGAUUAGCUGUUUAAAAGUUAAAAUGUGACUGAGAAGGAAAUUGAGUAGGGCAAAUUUUAAAUGGGUAUUAUUUUUCAUCUUCAAACAGGCAGACCUGUUAUCCUAAACUAGGGUUUUUAAUGACCACAACAAGCAAGCAUGCAGCUUACUGCUUGAAAGGGUCUUGCCUCACCCAAGCUAGAGUGCAGUGGCCUUUGAAGCUUACUACAGCCUCAAACUUCUGGGCUCAAGUGAUCCUCAGCCUCCCAGUGGUCUUUGUAGACUGCCUGAUGGAGUCUCAUGGCACAAGAAGAUUAAAACAGUGUCUCCAAUUUUAAUAAAUUUUUGCAAUCCA
Homo sapiens (human) is the source of this 995-nucleotide long non-coding RNA. Ensembl annotates it as growth arrest specific 5. Its record names the gene GAS5. The record is from Ensembl. Lineage: Eukaryota; Metazoa; Chordata; Mammalia; Primates; Hominidae.